Bactrocera neohumeralis is the source of this 3850-nucleotide RNA transcript. RefSeq lists it as uncharacterized. The record is from RefSeq and is a predicted model, not a curated record. The transcript is spliced from 14 exons. NCBI's taxonomy places the organism in Eukaryota, Metazoa, Arthropoda, Insecta, Diptera, Tephritidae.
CAUCGAAACUGACAACUUGAAUUAAUUAUACAUAUGUACAUAUGUAUAUGCGCAACAUUACCACCAGAAUUUCGAAAGUGCUACGGGCUUUAAUAAAAUGGCCGAAGCUGUGUAAAAUGUAUUUGUUUGUGGCUCAACUAUAUGAGUAGAUUUAUGAAAUAUACAAUAGUAAAUCGGUGCAAACUAUUAAAAUGCAUCCUUGAAAAUUUCAUGUUUUUUUACAAAAAUAACAGACGUGAGAACAUCAAUUCACAGCAGUGCUCAUCGCUAAGAGUAAAUAAUCAAAAAUUAUCGUGGAGGUAUAAGGAGGAAAGAACAUUUCUGUUGGCAUAAGCGUGAUAAAGAAUGUUAAAGCGCAUUAAUACAAGUUGAGACAAUUAAGAAGUGUCGAAUUGUUGGAGAAAGGUGCAUACUCAUACUUACAAAUGCGUUCAGGAAUGGUGGGUUGUCACUCAGCUGGUUGGUGUAGUUUCUUUUUUUGCAAUUACUUUGACAAGGUUAACAUGGGUUUUCAAUAGCACUUGUUGCUCGCUCACUUGUUACUUCCGGAUUGCCCAUUUUUUAAUAACAAGAAUGUCACGAUUCCUACAAAAUUUAUGACUGAACCCCAAUAAGUAGUUUAUGGUAAGGUGGUCUGGACAGAAGUGCCAAACUCGCUCAUAAUACAAUCUAUGCAUAUCAACUCGGAACUUUAAUGGAAUAUCAAAUGGAAUACCAAUGUCAAAAAAAAUUUAAAGAACAUGAAAGUCUAAGCCGUUUAACAUGUUCACCCCAACAUGGAAUAAAUAAGGACACGACUUCAAUAAGCAAAACUAAACAAAACUCACCUCCAUUUGCAAUAAUACAGAAAACAGAUGAUAUGUGUUCACGUUCACCUGAGUCAACAGUUAAAGGCUCUAAAGCUCCAAGAUGUUUACCCGAUAUUAAUUCCUAUGAUUCAAUGAGGCAACCACCAUCAAGUCCAUCCGCACGGAGACCCCACGGAUCUCAAAGCUCAUACUCCGAUCCGUUUAUAAUGGCUAGUAGAGGUGUACAUUUGUCUCACAUGAAUGAAAACCCACGUAGUCCGAAAAUAACAACCACUUAUGCUAAUGAUAGUUAUGAUGAUGCCUCUUCAACACCAUCCUUUUAUCAUACACCGACUUCUGGUUCACAUAGCCCGAGAGGAAUUUCAUCCCACGAAAACUCAAUGGAUUCACCAUCUUCUGGAACAUUUCUUAGCGGUCCAGGAACAUCCUCACCUCGACGAAGUCCUAACUCACCCAGAAAAUUUGUAUUUGAGGCCAUUAGCCCAGUCAUGGAUUACUCUUAUAAAAAGUUUGAAUACUACGAACCUAUUACUCCUGAAGAUGAAAUUUCUAACGAAAUCUAUGAAAUAAAUACCAUUGAACAUUUCGGCACAUCAUCACGAAUACCAACCUCACCAAAAAUAUGUGAAGCAAAAGGAAAGAACACAAAACCACUUUUGCGUUCCUCACCUUUAGAAAAUAUUUCUAAUUUAUAUGAAAGUCAGCAAAACAGUAAGGAGAUGAAGCCGCCAGAGUGGGAAAUAUCUCAAAUUGAUCAGCAUUGUUUGAUUAGUAAUAAUUAUUAUAUGAAAAGAGAUUCGUGUGUUACGGAGAGCACACAGCUGUCAUGUGACUCAAAUGACACAACUAAUUGUACGAUUGCUACUGUUACCACAUCUUUCUCUGAGCAAUCAAAAAUUGAUUCUGUUUUGGAAGGAUUUGUAUCAAAAGAGGCGACCCCAUUUGAGUUACAGGGAAGAAGUAAACAUCGAAGACACGCUAUCAAUAUAACUUCCAAUCCCUGUUAUCAGGUAUUACACAGUUCACACUCUACUUUAGAUCGUACCUGUUCAGACAGUGCGGCAUCACUGCAGCACCGUAAAUCAACCAGUGAUUUGACUGGAGACUCCGAAUGUGUUCUAAAUAAGAAUAAAAUUUUAGAAGAAUCAAUUUCCACAAGCUAUAAGCUCAGGCGGAGGGGUAGUUCUAAAGGCGGUCUGGCAUAUUUAGCUAGUCGCCGUAGUUCACGGGAGUCUAUGAAAAGUGUGUGCUCCAACACAUCUGUCUUUUCCAACGAUGAUAUUGGGCCAUUAGCUUUUCAAGCAUCAAACCGCGGACGACAACGUCGAACAUCAAAUUUCCUUGAACUACCAGUUCCAGAUCACAUAAGACCACGUGUAUGUUCUCUACCUGAACGUCCAUAUAAUCCUCGGGCUAGUGAUGAUCUUUACCGCCUAAGGCACUUCUCAAUAAGCAAGGGCAAUGUAGUGAACUGUGGUGACUCCAUUAUUUCAAGGCGGUCGCGCAGUAACACCAGCGUCAACUCUACUAAUAGCAGAGCAAGCGAACGUUCACCAUUCGAGGGAUCAUGCUGUGGAGGUGGGUAUGCUAAUGUAGACUCGGUUCCUUCAUCACCACAUUCGGACGAUCUCGAACCUCCACCACCAGCACGUUAUCGUAUAGUUAUGUUAGGUGAUUCAGGUGUUGGAAAAACAGCUUUGGUAAAUCAAUUCAUGACGUCGGAAUAUAUGCACACCUAUGAUGCUAGUUUAGUUGUAGAUGACGAAUUUGGUGAAAAGACAGUGAGCGUUUUGUUGGACGACGUAGAAUCAGAGUUGGUAUUCAUUGAUCAUCCAAGAGUGGAAAUGAGCGUGGAAAACUCGUUAUCAACUUAUGAGCCGCACGGAUGUGUUGUUGUAUUUUCUGUAGUUGAAAAAUCAUCGUUCCGAGUUGCAGAAGAAAUUAUAAAAUACUUGUGGCAGGAAAACUAUAUUAAAGAUAAAUCUGUUAUUAUAGUAGGGAACAAAGCGGAUUUAGCACGUGCUCGAGUUAUCUCAACACAAGAAGGAAAAGCGUUAGCUGCUUCACACGAUGCAAAAUUUAUAGAGACAUCCAGUGGAAUUCAACACAAUGUUGAUGAACUAUUGGUAGGAAUCCUAAAACAGCUACUUAUUCGGCCGGUAUCUUGUCAGCAGUUGAGCUACUUUUUUUUGGCACCUCGGAAGACAGCCCACCACUCUAUUAUUUCUCAACAUUAUCUUAGAAUAUAGCUGAAAAUAUACCUUAUUAUAUUCAAAGAAGUUCGAAAUAUUUAAUCAGCCCCUUAAAUUAUACUACAAGUUACAGCUUAUACGGGACGGACGGAUAGACAGAUUCUGGGGUCGAAUCGUUACGGAUCAGCAAACAUACGAAAGAAAAUUACGUGAUACGUCAAUCGUAUGCGGUGAUUGGCAUUAUGACAUACGACAGCAAACGGAUCGUAAUGUAUUUUAAAUUCACAAUAGUUUUUAAAUUCCACAUUGCUUUGGAUCGUAUUUUUAGGUCACAAUAGAUGUGGAACUGUCAAAACUGUUGCGAAAUUUUCAAUAAACUAACAAAAGCUAGUUAAAUAUCAAAAUGGAUCCAACUUUGUUUUAUUAUUUGAGCUUUAGUGAAAGCGAUGGAGAUAAAAAAUAGUGCGGAAAUAGCUAAGAGAUCGUAGCAAUAGCAUGAAUCGUUGAACAAAGCAUUGGAAUCUUAAAAAGACGGUGGAGAAUUUUAGGAUAUAGCAAGGGAGGAAGGUAUCCCUCCACAAAAGUGGAAGAUUUGUAAAUGUUUGUGAGGCACUACAUAACAUCUGCAUAAAAUGUACAAUAAGUUACGACCCUUAAAAAAGCGAUUCUUAACACACACAAAAAAUGGACAUGGGUAGCGCAUCGCCUCACCGCAAUCGACCAACCGAUAAGAAACCAUAUAAUGAAUUCUUUAAAAAAUUUAAUUCAAAAAUGUAUACGUCCUUAACUUUGUAAAUAAUUUUAUUUUUAAUGUCAAUUAAAAUACAAAAAUUUUGUUCGUAUAAAUAA